This 217-nucleotide unclassified non-coding RNA is filed under the name Hevea brasiliensis (rubber tree). The record is from RNAcentral. Lineage: Eukaryota; Viridiplantae; Streptophyta; Magnoliopsida; Malpighiales; Euphorbiaceae.
AGCUAGAUCCAAUGUAAAAUUAGAAUACAGGGCCAUGGCACUGGGCAUUUGUAAGCUAUUAUGUUUAUAGAAAUUGAUGGAAGAAAUGAUGCUAUCAAAAAUCGACAGUUUAUCCUUAUUGUGUGAUAACAAAACUACCAUCAACAUAGUACACAAUCCUGUCCAACAUGAUCAGACUAAGCAUAUAGAGAUCGAUCGACACUUUAUAAAGGAGAAA